This 460-nucleotide ribosomal RNA is filed under the name uncultured bacterium. RNAcentral's name for it is "partial 16S ribosomal RNA". It matches the Rfam family "Bacterial small subunit ribosomal RNA", at positions 338 to 795 of the family's 1533-position model. The record is from RNAcentral.
CCUACGGGAGGCAGCAGUGAGGAAUAUUGGUCAAUGGACGAGAGUCUGAACCAGCCAAGUAGCGUGAAGGAUGACUGCCCUAUGGGUUGUAAACUUCUUUUAUAUGGGAAUAAAAUGUUCCACGUGUGGGAUUUUGUAUGUACCAUAUGAAUAAGGAUCGGCUAACUCCGUGCCAGCAGCCGCGGUAAUACGGAAGGUCCGGGCGUUAUCCGGAUUUAUUGGGUUUAAAGGGAGCGUAGGCCGCAUGUCAAGCUUGCUGUGAAAUGUCCGGGCUCAACCCGGGCCUUGCAGCGCGAACUGGCGUGCUUGAGUCCGCGGAAAGCAGGCGGAAUUCGUCGUGUAGCGGUGAAAUGCGUAGAUAUAUGGAAGAACACCAGUGGCGAAAGCAGCUCUCUGGUCUGUAACUGACGCUGAGGUUCGAAAACGUGGGUAGCAAACAGGAUUAGAUACCCUUGUAGUC